AUACCUUUAGCCACAACCCAGUAUUAAAGGCAACGCCUGCCCAGUGAACAAUUAAACGGCCGCGGUACCCUAACCGUGCAAAGGUAGCGUAAUCACCUGUCUAUUAAUUGUAGACCCGUAUGAAUGGCAAAAUGAGGGCCUAACUGUCUCUUAUAGUGAAUCAAUUAAACUGAUCCCCCAGUCCAAAAGCUGGGAUGCACACAUAAGACGAGAAGACCCUGUGAAGCUUAAACUAAACUAUUAAACCAAAUAAUAGCUACUUUCGGUUGGGGCGACCUUGGAAAAAAAAAGAACUUCCAAACGUGACCUACCUCACACCAAACUUCAAGGCCAACAAGCCUAACAUGACCCAGCAGAGCUGAUAAUUGAACCAAGUUACUCCAGGGAUAACAGCGCCAUCUUCUUCAAGAGUCCAUAUCAAAAAGAAGGUUUACGACCUCGAUGUUGGAUCAGGACAUCCUAAUGGUGCAACCGCUAUUAAGGGUUCGUUUGUUCAACGAUUAAUAGUCCCA
This 512-nucleotide ribosomal RNA is filed under the name Lycophidion sp. RNAcentral's name for it is "partial small subunit ribosomal RNA". It matches the Rfam family "Bacterial large subunit ribosomal RNA", at positions 1816 to 2598 of the family's 2925-position model. The record is from RNAcentral. Lineage: Eukaryota; Metazoa; Chordata; Lepidosauria; Squamata; Lamprophiidae.